Molecule: ribosomal RNA, 213 nt
Filed under: Idarnotorymus pulcher
Lineage: Eukaryota; Metazoa; Arthropoda; Insecta; Hymenoptera; Torymidae
Description: partial 28S ribosomal RNA
Rfam family: Eukaryotic large subunit ribosomal RNA
Source: RNAcentral
UUUCCCUCAGGAUAGCUGGCACUCGCUCGAGCGAGUCUCAUCUGGUAAAGCGAAUGAUUAGAGGCCUUGGGGCCGAAACGACCUCAACCUAUUCUCAAACUUUAAAUGGGUGAGAUCUCUGGCUUGCUUGAACGUUGAAGCCACGAGAUUAAUUUGCAAUGGAUCAGAGUGCCAAGUGGGCCAAUUUUGGUAAGCAGAACUGGCGCUGUGGGA